RNAcentral lists this unclassified non-coding RNA (328 nucleotides) under soil metagenome. RNAcentral describes it as "partial contains 5.8S ribosomal RNA, internal transcribed spacer 2, and large subunit ribosomal RNA". The stretch from base 2 to 119 matches the Rfam family "5.8S ribosomal RNA", at positions 37 to 154 of the family's 154-position model. The record is from RNAcentral.
GUGAAGAACGCAGCGAAAUGCGAUAAGUAGUGUGAAUUGCAGAAUUCAGUGAAUCAUCGAAUCUUUGAACGCACAUUGCGCCCCUUGGUAUCCCGAGGGGCAUGCCUGUUCGAGCGUCAUUUCACCACUCAAGCCUGGCUUGGUGUUGGGCGACGUCCCCUUUGGGGACGCGCCUCGAAACGCUCGGCGGCGUGGCACCGGCUUUAAGCGUAGCAGAAUCUUUCGCUUUGGAAGUCGGGGCCCCGUCUGCCGGAAGACCUACUCGCAAGGUUGACCUCGGAUCAGGCAGGGAUACCCGCUGAACUUAAGCAUAUCAAUAAGCGGAGGA